CAGUAGCCACGGGAAUACAGAGGGUUCGAGCGUUAAUCGGAUUUACUGGGCGUAAAGCGUGCGUAGGCGGCUUCUUAAGUCGGAUGUGAAAUCCCUGAGCUUAACUUAGGAAUUGCAUUCGAUACUGGGAAGCUAGAGUAUGGGAGAGGAUGGUAGAAUUCCAGGUGUAGCGGUGAAAUGCGUAGAGAUCUGGAGGAAUACCGAUGGCGAAGGCAGCCAUCUGGCCUAAUACUGACGCUGAGGUACGAAAGCAUGGGGAGCAAACAGGAUUAGAUACCCCCGUAGUCCCUGUCUCUUAUAC
Molecule: ribosomal RNA, 301 nt
Filed under: uncultured bacterium
Lineage: Bacteria
Description: partial 16S ribosomal RNA
Rfam family: Bacterial small subunit ribosomal RNA
Source: RNAcentral